UACAGAGGUCUCAAGCGUUGUUCGGAUUCAUUGGGCGUAAAGGGUGCGUAGGUGGCGCCGUAAGUCGGGUGUGAAAUUUCGGAGCUUAACUCCGAAACUGCAUUCGAUACUGCGGUGCUUGAGGACUGGAGAGGAGACUGGAAUUCAUGGUGUAGCAGUGAAAUGCGUAGAGAUCAUGAGGAAGACCAGUGGCGAAGGCGGGUCUCUGGACAGUUACUGACACUGAGGCACGAAGGCCAGGGGAGCAAACGGG
Molecule: ribosomal RNA, 253 nt
Filed under: uncultured bacterium
Lineage: Bacteria
Description: partial 16S ribosomal RNA
Rfam family: Bacterial small subunit ribosomal RNA
Source: RNAcentral